This 636-nucleotide ribosomal RNA is filed under the name Triticum aestivum (bread wheat). Its description in RNAcentral is "partial small subunit ribosomal RNA". Lineage: Eukaryota; Viridiplantae; Streptophyta; Magnoliopsida; Poales; Poaceae. The record is from RNAcentral.
AUGUUAGCACUCGUGGACUCGGGCAAUAGUCAUAGUUUCGUGGAUGAAAAUUUUGCCAAGCGUGCUUCGUUGGAUUUGGUCGCUGUUCCAGCAGUGAAAGUUACAGUUGCAAAUGGUCAAACUAUGGAAUCCAAGUUUCAAACCCCUAAUCUGACUUGGUGGGCACAGGGUCACACUUUUGUGACACCAAUGAGAGUGCUACAACUGGGGGCCUAUGAUGUGGUGCUGGGAAUGGACUGGCUUAAGUGUCACAGUCCGAUGAUUUGCGAUUGGGAGGGCAAAUCAUUACAGUUUGCCCAUGGUGAUACUAUCAUUUCCCUUCAAGAUAUGCAGCCUGUUUCUACUAUGCAAUUGCAAGCUAUGUCAGUAGAGCAAUUGGACAAAGCUCUGCUUGGCAAUGAUAUUUGGGCUAUGGCCAUGGUUGAUCCUUCUUCAGGUGAUGUUGUUUCCACGCCUGGCUCCUAUCCAGAAGAUCUGACUGCAGUUUUAACAGACUUUCAAGAUGUGUUUGAAACUCCAAGUGGCCUGCCUCCACAUAGAGUAUAUGAUCAUGCAAUCACGUUGGAAGUGGGUCAUAACCCUCCAAACUCUCGUCCUUACCGAUACUCGCCACAACAAAAGGACGAGAUUGAAUGA